This 416-nucleotide ribosomal RNA is filed under the name uncultured bacterium. Its description in RNAcentral is "bacterial SSU rRNA". It matches the Rfam family "Bacterial small subunit ribosomal RNA", at positions 355 to 787 of the family's 1533-position model. The record is from RNAcentral.
UCGGGAAUAUUGCGCAAUGGAGGAAACUCUGACGCAGUGACGCCGCGUGCAGGAAGAAGGUUUUCGGAUUGUAAACUGCUUUAGACAGGGAAGAAACAAGACAGUACCUGUAGAAUAAGCUCCGGCUAACUACAUGCCAGCAGCCGCGGUAAUACGUAGGGAGCAAGCGUUAUCCGGAUUUAUUGGGUGUAAAGGGUGCGUAGACGGGAAUGCAAGUUGGUUGUGAAAUCCCUCGGCUCAACCGAGGAAUUGCAACCAAAACUAUAUUUCUUGAGUGCUGGAGAGGAAAGUGGAAUUCCUAGUGUAGCGGUGAAAUGCGUAGAUAUUAGGAGGAACACCAGUGGCGAAGGCGACUUUCUGGACAGUAACUGACGUUGAGGCACGAAAGUGCGGGGAGCAAACAGGAUUAGAUACCC